ACUUUUUAGAGGCUUAGGUGACUUCGUUAAAGUCUCCACUAAGCUAAGGCUCAUUCCUAUUAUGUUGAGAGACCAAUCCUAAGUUCUCCCAAAGUAUUUCUCUAUUAUUAAAUAUAGUACUGGCAUAAACUAGAGAUAGCCUCCAAUAUUGUUUCGAGGAAUUUACCAGAACAUUAACAUGUAUCUCUUGGUCUGUAAUGGAAUUGGGAUCCACUAUCAGUUCCUCACCUUUCCACAUUAGAGCUAUGCCUCCAAAGUGUCCCUUACCACUAAUCUCAAACAUAUCUGUAAAUUUGAUAAAAUCUUGAAGUGUAGAGUGGUAUGUCAUCCUUGUCUCAGUGAGACAGAUAAUUGUGGGAUUAUUCCACUCAACCAGAGCUUUGAAGUUCCUCCUGAGGUCUGGUUUGUUACCGCCUCUACAAUUCCAUGGCAAAAUCUUCAUUUGGGGUUUGUCAUCAGUUAGUGUACUUCCUCAUGCUUCAAUGACAUCUCGGGAUGUGAAAGUAGUGGAUGUGAUGGUCCAUUCUUCAUGGAGAUGUUCCGAGAUGUCUGGAUGACUGUUUGUGACUUUGUGGGAUGUUUAGUUCGGUUUCCAAUGCACUUGGGAGCAUUUUGGGAUUUGGAUUGGAAACUUGACUUUAGGCCAUUGGGGGUUUACUUGGUAAAAUAGACCUCCGUUUAAAAUUUUGAGGCCGCGGAUAAUGAAUUCGUAGCACGUUUUUAUGGGUGUAUGCAUUUUUGUUUUGUAUCUAUGGGGCCUCGGGUGAUAGUUGGGUUUCGGGUUGAGAAUUGUGAAAAUCCAAAAAAAUCUGGUGUCUGGUGUUUGGUGUCCGCUGCAGCUGCACCAGACUCGUCGCAGCAGUCUCGCUGUACCGGGGGAGAGACUGUUGUAGCGGGCAAGGAGAUUUCGUGGUGAGAAGCCCCAGCGGACUGGUAUCUGCUGAGGCGGACUGACUGUAGCGAGAAUGUUACCGCUAUAGCGGCAAGGUUAGAUUGGCAUGAGGCACCACCAUGAGCCCCUGGCCGCCGUGGCGAGGUCGCUGCAGCGGGUAACCUUACCGCUGUAGGGAGUAACAGGCAGUUUUUCUAUUUUUUCUUAAGUUAAAACCCUUGAACCCUAUCAUUUCCCUUUAUCACUUUCUAAGCACAUUUUGGGAGAAUUGAAUAGCUUUUGGACUGAAUCUUCUUGGAGGGCGAACCCCAAGUAAACGAGAGGGUCUGGAGUGUCUGCAGUUUUCUUCUCGUAUGCUAUUGCCCAUGUAGCCCACUGGUGUUCACAGGAUGUGAUGACACUGAAGGAAUUGUAAAACUCCAACACAUCUCCUUCAAUCACUUUCCAAGUGAUUGAUUUCUUUUGAUGAUCGAUGGCUUCAAUCACCUCCGUAACAAUCUUCUCUUUUCCGUCUAUAAUUAAAAUCGGAGAAUAAAAGAGAUGUUACUCCUAGUUCACAUGUCCAAUUCCUCAUAAAAAGGUUAAACAUUCACAAAAUAAUACCUUCAUCUUAUUUAUUUUAUUUUUCCUCAUUUUCUCAAAAAAUUAUCUGAUGCUCAUGAAUUUUAGACUGUCUACUUCUCUCUUGAAUGGAAUUGUCUUGACGAAUCUAAAAGAACGUUUGACGUUGCAAAAAGUAUGGAAAUUAGAAGGGAAACUUAUAAAAUGAUUCUGAUGUGUUUGGUAUCACUAAAGUAAUUUCCCAUGAAAAAGUUUUUCAGAAAAUAUUUCUUGGUAUUUGGUUUGUUAGUGAAAGAUCGAGCAUACAAUAAAGGCCAAUAAGAAUAUUAUCGAAUUAGAGUGCUUUGCUUAAAUUUUUGCGUACCACAUGAAUAAUAGUGUCUAAAUGUUAGUUGGACAAGUAAUAUAUAGUUAGAAGUUAAAGUUGUUAUGAC
Lycium barbarum (goji berry) is the source of this 1887-nucleotide long non-coding RNA. RefSeq lists it as uncharacterized. NCBI's taxonomy places the organism in Eukaryota, Viridiplantae, Streptophyta, Magnoliopsida, Solanales, Solanaceae. The transcript is spliced from 2 exons. The record is from RefSeq and is a predicted model, not a curated record.